GCCAGACUCCUACGGGAGGCAGCAGUGGGGAAUAUUGGACAAUGGGGGGAACCCUGAUCCAGCGACGCCGCGUGAGUGAAGAAGUAUUUCGGUAUGUAAAGCUCUAUCAGCAGGGAAGAAAGAAAUGACGGUACCUGACUAAGAAGCCCCGGCUAACUACGUGCCAGCAGCCGCGGUAAUACGUAGGGGGCAAGCGUUAUCCGGAUUCACUGGGUGUAAAGGGAGCGUAGACGGCCAAGCAAGCCAGGGGUGAAAGCCCGGGGCCCAACCCCGGGACUGCCCUUGGAACUGCUUGGCUGGAGUGCGGGAGGGGCAGGCGGAAUUCCUGGUGUAGCGGUGAAAUGCGUAGAUAUCAGGAGGAGCACCGGCGGCGAAGGCGGCCUGCUGGACCGCGACUGACGUUGAGGCUCGAAAGCGUGGGGAGCGAACAGGAUUAGAUACCCUCGUAA
RNAcentral lists this ribosomal RNA (449 nucleotides) under uncultured bacterium. Its description in RNAcentral is "partial 16S ribosomal RNA". It matches the Rfam family "Bacterial small subunit ribosomal RNA", at positions 330 to 793 of the family's 1533-position model. The record is from RNAcentral.